AUUGAACGCUGGCGGAAUGCUUUACACAUGCAAGUCGAACGGCAGCACGGACUUCGGUCUGGUGGCGAGUGGCGAACGGGUGAGUAACAUAUCGGAACGUAUCCAAUAAUGGGGGAUAACUAAUCGAAAGGUUGGCUAAUACCGCAUACGCCCUACGGGGGAAAGCUAGGGACCUCGGGGCCGGCGGUAAUGGACGGGCCGAUAUCUGAUUAGCUAGUUGGUGGGGUAAAGGCCCACCAAGGCGACGAUCAGUAGCUGGGUCUGAGAGGACGACCAGCCACACUGGAACUGAGACACGGUCCAGACUCCUACGGGAGGCAGCAGUGGGGAAUUUUGGACAAUGGGCGCAAGCCUGAUCCAGCCAUUCCGCGUGAGUGAAGAAGGCCUUCGGGUUGUAAAGCUCUUUCGCAAGGGAAGAAAACUUACCCUCUAACAUAGGGUGAGGUUGACGGUACCUUGAUAAGAAGCACCGGCUAACUACGUGCCAGCAGCCGCCGUAA
This 500-nucleotide ribosomal RNA is filed under the name uncultured bacterium. RNAcentral describes it as "partial 16S ribosomal RNA". It matches the Rfam family "Bacterial small subunit ribosomal RNA", at positions 30 to 523 of the family's 1533-position model. The record is from RNAcentral.